GACGAACGCUGGCGGCGUGCUUAACACAUGCAAGUCGAACGGAAAGGCCCUGCUUUUGUGGGGUGCUCGAGUGGCGAACGGGUGAGUAACACGUGAGUAACCUGCCCUUGACUUUGGGAUAACUUCAGGAAACUGGGGCUAAUACCGGAUAGGAGCUUCUGCUGCCUGGUGGGGGUUGGAAAGUUUCGGCGGUUGGGGAUGGACUCGCGGCUUAUCAGCUUGUUGGUGGGGUAGUGGCUUACCAAGGCUUUGACGGGUCGCCGGCCUGAGAGGGUGACCGGCCACAUUGGGACUGAGAGACGGCCCAGACUCCUACGGGAGGCGGCAGUGGGGAAUAUUGCACAAUGGGCGGAAGCCUGAUGCAGCAACGCCGCGUGCGGGAUGACGGCCUUCGGGUUGUAAACCGCUUUCGCCUGUGACGAAGCGUGAGUGACGGUAAUGGGUAAAGAAGCACCGGCUAACUACGUG
Molecule: ribosomal RNA, 468 nt
Filed under: uncultured bacterium
Lineage: Bacteria
Description: partial 16S ribosomal RNA
Rfam family: Bacterial small subunit ribosomal RNA
Source: RNAcentral